Molecule: ribosomal RNA, 585 nt
Filed under: uncultured bacterium
Lineage: Bacteria
Description: partial 16S ribosomal RNA
Rfam family: Bacterial small subunit ribosomal RNA
Source: RNAcentral
UGGGGAAUUUUGGACAAUGGGCGAAAGCCUGAUCCAGCAAUGCCGCGUGUGUGAAGAAGGCCUUCGGGUUGUAAAGCACUUUUGUCCGGAAAGAAAUCCUUGGCUCUAAUACAGUCGGGGGAUGACGGUACCGGAAGAAUAAGCACCGGCUAACUACGUGCCAGCAGCCGCGGUAAUACGUAGGGUGCAAGCGUUAAUCGGAAUUACUGGGCGUAAAGCGUGCGCAGGCGGUUUGCUAAGACCGAUGUGAAAUCCCCGGGCUCAACCUGGGAACUGCAUUGGUGACUGGCAGGCUAGAGUAUGGCAGAGGGGGGUAGAAUUCCACGUGUGGCAGUGAAAUGCGUAGAGAUGUGGAGGAAUACCGAUGGCGAAGGCAGCCCCCUGGGCCAAUACUGGCGCUCAUGCACGAAAGCGUGGGGAGCAAACAGGAUUAGAUACCCUGGUAGUCCGCGCCCUAAACGAUGUCAACUAGUUGUUGGGGAUUCAUUUCCUUAGUAACGUAGCUAACGCGUGAAGUUGACCGCCUGGGGAGUACGGUCGCAAGAUUAAAACUCAAAGGAAUUGACGGGGUCAUAGCUGUUUCCU